GGGGAUGUUUUGUUUCGAUAGCAAUAUCGCCCUGACCUGCAGCAAGCCGAGGCGGCCACGAUCCUCGUACUCUCUCCGUGGCAACCCAUAAGUGUAAGCAACUUUACCGCAAAACUUCGAACUGCCUUUGGCAGCUUCGCCUUUGCACCAGCAGUCGCCUAACGGCCACUGCCAUCACCCGCGGCAAUACCUAGUAGUCGCAUCGGUGGUGUCAUAUCACUAGGUCUGACCGUCGUUCCGCUCGAGGCGACGUCAUCAGGCUUUUCGAGCACCUCACUGCAGUGUUUUGCUUUUUUUAAGCUGCAGCUGAGUACUUAAAAAAGUAAAGCUUGUAUACCUGCUGUCGGAGCCGUUGUUAGACAGGAGUUCAUUGCUCCUCAUCUCCACCU
This 389-nucleotide transfer-messenger RNA is filed under the name Candidatus Buchananbacteria bacterium. It matches the Rfam family "transfer-messenger RNA". From Rfam's summary of the family: Bacterial tmRNA, also known as 10Sa RNA or SsrA, is named for its dual tRNA and mRNA-like properties. Lineage: Bacteria; Candidatus Buchananiibacteriota. The record is from RNAcentral.